RNAcentral lists this ribosomal RNA (433 nucleotides) under uncultured bacterium. RNAcentral describes it as "partial 16S ribosomal RNA". It matches the Rfam family "Bacterial small subunit ribosomal RNA", at positions 29 to 507 of the family's 1533-position model. The record is from RNAcentral.
AACGAACGCUGGCGGCAGGCCUAACACAUGCCAGUCGAGCGAGGACUUCGGUUCUGGCGGCGGACGGGUGAGUAACGCGUGGGAAUGUGCCCUUCUCUACGGAAUAGCCCUGGGAAACUGGGAGUAAUACCGUAUACGCCCUAUUGGGGAAAGAUUUAUCGGAGAAGGAUCAGCCCGCGUUGGAUUAGGUAGUUGGUGGGGUAAUGGCCUACCAAGCCGACGAUCCAUAGCUGGUUUGAGAGGAUGAUCAGCCACACUGGGACUGAGACACGGCCCAGACUCCUACGGGAGGCAGCAGUGGGGAAUCUUAGACAAUGGGGGCAACCCUGAUCUAGCCAUGCCGCGUGAGUGAUGAAGGCCUUAGGGUUGUAAAGCUCUUUCAGCUGGGAAGAUAAUGACGGUACCAGCAGAAGAAGCCCCGGCUAACUCCGUG